This 446-nucleotide ribosomal RNA is filed under the name uncultured bacterium. Its description in RNAcentral is "partial 16S ribosomal RNA". It matches the Rfam family "Bacterial small subunit ribosomal RNA", at positions 354 to 796 of the family's 1533-position model. The record is from RNAcentral.
GUGAGGAAUAUUGGUCAAUGGAGGCAACUCUGAACCAGCCAUGCCGCGUGCAGGAAGACGGUCCUAUGGAUUGUAAACUGCUUUUAUUUAGGAAUAAACCCCCGGUCGUGCACCGGGGCUGAAUGUACUAAAAGAAUAAGCACCGGCUAACUCCAUGCCAGCAGCCGCGGUAAUACGGAGGGUGCAAGCGUUAUCCGGAAUCAUUGGGUUUAAAGGGUCCGCAGGCGGGUAAAUAAGUCAGAGGUGAAAUCCGGCAGCUCAACUGUCGCAUUGCCUUUGAUACUGUUUAUCUUGAAUUUUAGUGGAGUGGGCGGAAUAUGUCAUGUAGCGGUGAAAUGCUUAGAUAUGACGUGGAACACCGAUAGCGAAGGCAGCUCACUAACUAUGAAUUGACGCUCAUGGACGAAAGCGUGGGUAGCAAACAGGAUUAGAAACCCUUGUAGUCC